CCUACGGGUGGCAGCAGUGAGGAAUAUUGGUCAAUGGACGAGAGUCUGAACCAGCCAAGCAGCGUGAAGGAUGACUGUCCAAAGGGUCGUAAACUUCUUUUAUCUGGGAAUAAAACGUUCCACGUGUGGGAUGUUGUAUGUACCAUAUGAAUAAGGAUCGGCUAACUCCGUGCCAGCAGCCGCGGUAAUACGGAGGAUCCGAGCGUUAUCCGGAUUUAUUGGGUUUAAAGGGAGCGUAGGCGGAUUGUUAAGUCAGUUGUGAAAGUUUGCGGCUCAACCGUAAAAUUGCAGUUGAAACUGGCAGUCUUGAGUACAGUAGAGGUGGGCGGAAUUCGUGGUGUAGCGGUGAAAUGCAUAGAUAUCGCGAAGAACUCCGAUUGCGAAGGCAGUUCACUGGACUGCAACUGACACUGAGGCUCGAAAGUGUGGGUAUCGAACAGGAUUAGAUACCCGAGUAGUC
Molecule: ribosomal RNA, 460 nt
Filed under: uncultured bacterium
Lineage: Bacteria
Description: partial 16S ribosomal RNA
Rfam family: Bacterial small subunit ribosomal RNA
Source: RNAcentral